GAACUUAUAACACAUUUUUGACUACUAAACGAUCUCGUAUGAAAAAGUUGUCAACUAUAAAGUUUAAAAUCUUAUCGAACUCGACAAUUUUGAUAUAAAGUUUGUAUUCAUCCGAGAUCGUAUGCAAAAGUUUGUAUUAAAAAAAUAUAGCCUUCAACCUAAUUAUUCCCAUUGUUUCUAUUUACAUACAGAGCCCAACAACGGUUGUACCGUCAUCAUCGUCAUACAUCUUGACGCCGCUCCCAUUGUAGGUCACCUUCUACCGCGGCAAUGGGACUUCGAGCGGCGGUACGCCUCUCAGAGCUGUGCUCACCCCCGCUUCUAUCGGAACGCACGAGUUCCAUGUGUGGAUCCCACGUAAUAAACAGAUGGCAUCAAACCACCCACAAAUAUCUUCUACUACUAUACUUGCAAAGAGAGGACUACUAGGGACAAUGCAUCAACAUAUUAUGAAGCGAAACUAACAUAUUAGGAACAAACGAAUAAUAAUAUGAGAGCAAGUAAGGACGACCCGUAGCAACGCAUGAGCAUUUCCGCAAGUUACUACUACAUACAGAUAUAUUUUUUUCACGAUGGGAUCAUAACAGGGGUUAAGUCUAGCUAAUUAACAUACUCCAUAUGGGCUACUGCAUGUAUACACGAUCGAGUUUCGAGUCGAGCAUAUAUGAUGCUUAAUUCAUGUUGGACGAUGGAACCACAUCUUCCGCUGCUUGAUGAACUCCUCCGCCAUCUUGUUGAUGUCGUCUCCUUCGCCACCGCCGCCGCCUCGUGGAGCACGCGCCAAGCCGUAGACGGAGGGCCUGGACACCACGUUGUGGACCUCGAUCUUGGGCACCUUCUCAACGGCCACCUCCCCGGCCGCGCCGGCGGCCGGAGCAGGGUUCUUGCCCCAACGAAUCAUCUCCUCCUUCUUGCUACCCGCACGAGCCUAGCAAGCAAGCUAAGGACUGCUCAGACGAUGGUUCUCCGGUAAUUUUCCUGAUCGAUCAGAUCGUUUGGAUUGAGUUGGCUGGACGAGGAUGGAGUUGGCAACCGAUGGACUAGGUUUAUAUAGCGAGCGAUCCUCUUGUCACUUAGCUACCGGUUCUUGGACGUUGAUGCACGUGUUCUCAGGCAUCCGAUUGCUUUAGAUAAUUAUUAGGAUGAGUGCCCCAGGUCCAUAGCCAUGCGUCUUGGUCAGUAGAGGUGACAUGUUUGGCAACUUGUCCGGUCUCAGAUGGCUGCUGUAAGGGAUCCCUGCAGAGAUGCGAGCAGCUUGGCUACGCUACCAACAACCGUCAGCCGUGUUGCCUGCCACUUGCAUUGCUGCUACGUCAAGUUCGUCGCUGCUGGGGCUGGGGCAGCAUCUUCGGCGGAAUCCUAGCUUUGGGUAAAGCGCUUGCAGGCGUGUUGCGCGUUUCGCCACUGUAUAUCUGAACAUUUUUGGUUGAGCAAUCGUGCGCCACACCCUCAAAG
Molecule: long non-coding RNA, 1455 nt
Filed under: Setaria italica (foxtail millet)
Lineage: Eukaryota; Viridiplantae; Streptophyta; Magnoliopsida; Poales; Poaceae
Description: long non-coding RNA (SITA_LNC001829)
Source: RNAcentral